Long non-coding RNA from Papio anubis (olive baboon), 1662 nucleotides. NCBI's taxonomy places the organism in Eukaryota, Metazoa, Chordata, Mammalia, Primates, Cercopithecidae. The record is from Ensembl.
ACUUGAUACAUGAAAAAAAAAAAUUUAGUACUGAGUUCCUUAGAAUUUUCCAAUUCAUAAUUGAAAAUGUAUGAUGGUUAGUAGAGCAAAUAAUUUAAACUUUCAGAGCCUCUGUGCUUUCAUCUAAGGAAUAGUUAUAAUAAUAGUUAAUAAAGUUUAUCCAAUAAUUAAAUUAGGUAAUUUAUUUUAAAAUCUUAUAGCAUAUUUGCUUACAGAAAUACGCACUCAUUGUUUGUAGCCUAUAUUUGUAACUUAAUAUAUAAAUAACACAUAAUUUAUAAUUGUUAUUGUAACUGAUAAGAAUUGUUCAUUACUUAUUUUAUAAUUAAAGUCUGGGGGUUUUGACGGCCGGUUAGGGCAGUUUAAAACUCCCUGAAGGGAAACAGAGCCUCUUACUCACAGGAAAGAGAGAGGUGGCAGGGUUUCAGAAGAGAGGAAGACCGGAUAGUUUCGCAAUUCAUACACACUCACCUUCCAGGAUCCCGGUCGAGGUCCCCAGCUGAAAAGGGAAAGGCUCCCUCGUCCCCUCUCAGGGCGCGUGAUGGGGGAGUGACUGUUUUCUUCAGCGCCCCGCUGCUGAGACCUCUAGGGAGCACACAGAUCGGCAGGCUAUGGAGCUCCUACCCCAGGGCAGGGUCUAGGGGUGAAUGUUUACAGCUCCUGAAGCCCCAAUGGGCAUGUGUUACAGGAUACUCUCUAGUCUGCCAUCUACAGGCAGCUCGUGUUAACUAGCUCAGUUAGGCCCUCGACCUUGUGGCAAGAACAAAGGGCUUUCUGUAUUCGGGGCUCUUGCCUUGGUGUACCUGAAGAAUCGGAUCACACAUGGGCUUGGAGAAUGAGUGCAAAGUUUUAUUCAGUGGAAGUAGCUCUCCGCCUGUGGGGCAGCCAGAAGGGAGAUGGUUUUCCCCCGGAGUUGGGAUGCUCUGCAGGCCCGACUGUCCUCUGACUGCCCAGGCCAACCUCUGCCUCCUCCCGCUGGUCCACGGCCUUCUGGCUUCCGGCUUCUGUCAGCGUGUUCUUCUACUGGCCUGCUCCUAUGGACGACCAGUCGUUUGUCUUCUUCCCCUGAUGUGUUGCUCAUCAGGACAUCCAGCCACUUGUGUAUCUGCCUGCAAGGGUCUCAGAUUUUUGCCAAGGUUUUGGGAAAACGUGGUCUCUUCUUGAUAGAGUUUCAAAGCAGGAACUUUGGAAUCCUUGGCUUCUGGCCACCCGUAUAACUAUCUCAUGGAGAGGUCCUUGCCAAGAGAUGGAAAACAGAGUCCUGGUAAUGCUAAUUGUCUCCCUAGAUAGAGUUGUACCAGAAGUCAAACUAAACUCAGAUUUUUGCAUACAUAAGCCAAUUGUUUGUUUUUCUUUAUUAUUUGAUUCUGCAUUCUAUCACUGUUAAAUAAAUUUUUUCCUGAAUAUCACAUAUAUAUUAGUAACAAACUCUAAAAUACUAUUUGCUCCAAGACUUUAGAAAUAGAUAAUGAGGUAGAUCUUUUCCUAACACAUUUUAAGAUGAACAAUGAAGACUGUUUUCACCUUUGCUUUAUGGUGUAGAGGUAAAAAAUAAGGAAAUUCUCAUUUAUUUUAUUUUUGGAAGAAAGAUAGAGUAUGGAAUACCUCUGAGUUCGAAGGUUUACUUUACAUAUUUGGAUAUCUCCUAGAUUUUUUCCAUUC